UUUAAAAGAUAAUUUUUUUUUUCUGUUGAAUUAAUGUUCAUUGGGCCUUUUGUCUGAUUUUCACUGAUUUCAGGCACAGUGGAUUGAAGAGGGGGGCAGUGCUGAGUCAUUCACGUGGUGUGUGAGGGCUCCUGUUUGUAAAUCAGGGAUUCUUGCAGCCUGCUUUUUCAGGGACAUUGGCUGCUGUCUUCUGACCCACCCUGUGUGGCUUUGGCGUCUCCUGUGACCUCCCAGUAUGGGUCUUGGCCUCAUCCUGCCUCUUUGUCUUUCUGGCCCACCACCCACAGCUUGAAUCUCAGGCUCCAACAGUUGCCUGACCCCCAGAUUCUGAUGACAGCCUACCUACUUGUUCUUCAGGCCCUCACCAGACUCACUGCCCAGACACACCACACAGGAGAACAUGAAAGGCUUUGAAUGAUGCAUUGGCCCACGUGGACCACCUUCCAUUUCCCAAGACUUUUUGAAGGCAAUGAAUGAGAAGAAAGCAGAGAAAACAGUGGGCGUGAGGUCAGAUGACUCAGGCUUGAGUACUGAUCACAUCAAGGAUUGGACGCACUGCUCUUAGGAAGGCACAACUUCUACUACUUUCAGUCUUAUCAACUGUGAGAGUGUACCCUUGCUGUAGAUGCCACCCGCCCAGCAGUCCUCAUCAUCUUGGCCCAGGAUCACCUGAAACAGAUGAUCCUCCUUUUGAGCUACCAUCAGAAGGUCCACAGUACUAGCCCAGCGCUACAUCCCAAUGCCUACGCCAUUCAUCUCACCUCAUCUCAUCACGUAGACAUUUCAUCAUGUCACAUCAUCACAAGAAGGGUGAGUAAGGUCCAGUGAGAUAUUUCGAGAGAGACAGAGACCAUAUUCACAUAACUAUUAUUACAAUAUAUUGUGGU
Molecule: long non-coding RNA, 887 nt
Organism: Homo sapiens (human)
Lineage: Eukaryota; Metazoa; Chordata; Mammalia; Primates; Hominidae
Exons: 4
Source: RefSeq, a predicted model, not a curated record